UACGUAGGUGGCAAGCGUUGUCCGGAUUCACUGGGCUUAAAGAGCGCGCAGGCGGUCGUUCAAGUCGGAUGUGAAAGCCCCCGGCUCAACUGGGGAGGGUCAUUCGAUACUGAUCGACUCGAAGGCAGGAGAGGGAAGCGGAAUUCCCGGUGUAGUGGUGAAAUGCGUAGAUAUCGGGAGGAACACCAGUGGCGAAGGCGGCUGGCUGGCCUGUUCUUGACGCUGAGGCGCGAAAGCCAGGGGAGCAAACGGG
RNAcentral lists this ribosomal RNA (253 nucleotides) under uncultured bacterium. RNAcentral's name for it is "partial 16S ribosomal RNA". It matches the Rfam family "Bacterial small subunit ribosomal RNA", at positions 524 to 776 of the family's 1533-position model. The record is from RNAcentral.